AUGGUAAAGAAAGGCUGGUCGGAGGCUGCCCAGUUUGCACAUUGUGACACUUGCCCUGCUGUUGAGUCAAUCGAUCACUUACUACUACGCUGUGCGCCCGCCAGCGUUCUUUGGGGCAAAAUGGAGCUGGACGUUCUGGCUUGCUCGGCUACUAAUGUUCUUUCUUUUGUGGAGCAAGCACAACACCAGAUUGGCUUUAGGCACAAAUGGAAUGUGGCUUUCGCGGCUUGUGCUAUUACCUUGUGGCGUGCUAGGAAUGACAGAGUCUUCAACUCCAAAAUCUGGUCUGUACAAUACACAUGUCUAUAUGCAGCAGACAUGCUCCGUCUUUGGAGUUUCAGAACUCAAAACCAGCGCACCAGGGAGGUUCUCCAGGUUUGGAGACAAAAGCUGCUGCAUAGCGUGUAG
Molecule: ribosomal RNA, 408 nt
Filed under: Triticum aestivum (bread wheat)
Lineage: Eukaryota; Viridiplantae; Streptophyta; Magnoliopsida; Poales; Poaceae
Description: partial small subunit ribosomal RNA
Source: RNAcentral